GUCAGUAUAGUUCUAUUUAUUGCAGAGGUCAUUGUGGAGACAUAUAGUUCAUAUCAAGGGUCCAUGGGGUAGAAGUUGUCAGAAUCUGUAUGGGUAACCAACAGAAGAUAGUCUAAUUUUAUGGAAGAAUAUUGUUGAUUUCCCCCUUUGUGUUGAAUACCUCAUAUUUUAUCUUCUCCUAAUUCUUCAUUUCUUAUCCCUUCAUAAAUGUUCUUUUUCCUUCUAUUGUGCAGUAUGCCUAGUUGCAUCGCUUGCAUACUUGUAUUGUGGUUAUAUUUACAUCGUGAUUAACAUGAAUAUUUUCUAGACUAAUACAAUUUGCCACUCAUCUUCUCAUCAUUGCAUUUCAUCUUCAUAAUCUGAUUCCAUCCUAACUUCAUAGCUCUAAGUUAAAUGUCUUGGUAAAUGAGUAUAUACAUAUUUGCUUUCGUAAACAUGGAAUGUAUAUCAUUUGAAGAUCUAAAUCUCAAAGUGGUUUCAUGACUCAAUCCAACCUCAU
Molecule: long non-coding RNA, 499 nt
Filed under: Phoenix dactylifera (date palm)
Lineage: Eukaryota; Viridiplantae; Streptophyta; Magnoliopsida; Arecales; Arecaceae
Description: long non-coding RNA (PDAC_LNC023111)
Source: RNAcentral